AGGGAGCCUGAGAGAUGGCUCCCACGUCCAAGGACGGCAGCAGGCGCGAAAAUUGCCCACUCUCUCGCGAGGAGGCGGUUACGAGGCGUGACGGAAGGGCGCACUGUAAAGAUGUGCGCGAACGCGAUUGGAGGGCAAGUUCGGUGCCAGCAGCCGCGGUAAUACCGACUCCAAGAGUGUCUAUGGUGGAUGCUGCAGUUAAAAAGUCCGUAGUCGGCACUGCGACGAAAGCGCGCCGUUCGAUGGCGCAGGCGUUGCAGGGGCUUGCGGAGCGGGCGGGGGGCACGGUAUAGGCAGGCGAGAGAUGAAAUGGCCAAGACCCUGCCUGGACCGACGGCGGCGAAGGCGGUGCCCUCGCACGCAUCUGUGGAUCAAGGACGAAGGCCGGAGGAUCGAAAGUGAUUAGAGACCGCUGUAGUUCCGGCAGUAAACGAUGCCGACACCGCGCGGCGGCGCUGCGCGGGGGGGAAACCUUAGUGUUCGGGCUCUGGGGAUAGUAUGCUCGCAAGUG
RNAcentral lists this ribosomal RNA (511 nucleotides) under cf. Orthosomella sp. HEM-2006A. Its description in RNAcentral is "bacterial SSU rRNA". It matches the Rfam family "Microsporidia small subunit ribosomal RNA", at positions 248 to 771 of the family's 1311-position model. The record is from RNAcentral. Lineage: Eukaryota; Fungi; Microsporidia; Unikaryonidae.